This 373-nucleotide ribosomal RNA is filed under the name uncultured bacterium. RNAcentral's name for it is "bacterial SSU rRNA". It matches the Rfam family "Bacterial small subunit ribosomal RNA", at positions 29 to 429 of the family's 1533-position model. The record is from RNAcentral.
AACGAACGCUGGCGGCAGGCCUAAAACAUGCAAGUCGAGCGGGCAUAGCAAUAUGUCAGCGGCGGACGGGUGAAUAACACGUGGGAACAUGCCCUUUGGUACGGAACAACUCAGGGAAACUUGAGCUAAUACCGUAUGUGCCGGUAACGGGAAAGAUUUAUCGCCAAAGGAUUGGCCCGCGUCCGAUUAGCUAGUUGGUGAGGUAACGGCUCACCAAGGCGACGAUCGGUAGCUGGUUUGAGAGAACGAUCAGCCACACUGGGACUGAGACACGGCCCAGACUCCUACGGGAGGCAGCAGUUGGGAAUCUUGGACAAUGGGGGAAACCCUGAUCCAGCCAUGCCGCGUGAGCGAUGAAGGCCUUGGUUGUAAG